Molecule: unclassified non-coding RNA, 270 nt
Filed under: Hevea brasiliensis (rubber tree)
Lineage: Eukaryota; Viridiplantae; Streptophyta; Magnoliopsida; Malpighiales; Euphorbiaceae
Source: RNAcentral
CUAAUUAUGGCCCCUCCCCCCACUUUUUAAACUUAUAUCUUAAUGACAAAAUUUGCAUUGGGAUAAAUCACCUGUCCAGUUCAUAUUUAAAAGACUAUGUCUCUCAUGUGGGUCCAUGUCUAGAAUUUUCCAACAUUAGUCAUGUUUUUGCCGAAUUGAUUUGAGGCCGAAGUUCCCCCCCUAACUUUGAGAUCCACUUUAUGGCCUUGAAGGCUUCGCAACAUUAAACUCGAGAAGUGCGACUCUUUUGAGAAGUAUACUAAAAUUAUU